RNAcentral lists this ribosomal RNA (71 nucleotides) under Acacia ramiflora. RNAcentral describes it as "partial 26S ribosomal RNA". The record is from RNAcentral. Lineage: Eukaryota; Viridiplantae; Streptophyta; Magnoliopsida; Fabales; Fabaceae.
GUCUGCCCUCUCGUACGCGACCCCAGGUCAGGCGGGGCUACCCGCUGAGUUUAAGCAUAUCAAUAAGCGGA